AUGCACGCUGGCGGCGUGCCUAAUACAUGCAAGUAGAACGCUGAAGGCGGAGCUUGCUCUUCUGGAUGAGUUGCGAACGGGUGAGUAACGCGUAGGUAACCUGCCUGGUAGCGGGGGAUAACUAUUGGAAACGAUAGCUAAUACCGCAUGACAACAGUUAUUGCAUGAUAACUGUUUAAAAGGGGCAACUGCUCCACUACCAGAUGGACCUGCGUUGUAUUAGCUAGUUGGUGAGGUAACGGCUCACCAAGGCGACGAUACAUAGCCGACCUGAGAGGGUGAUCGACCACACUGGGACUGAGACACGGCCCAGACUCCUACGGGAGGGAGCAGUAGGGAAUCUUCGGCAAUGGACGGAAGUCUGACCGAGCAACGCCGCGUGAGUGAAGAAGGUUUUCGGAUCGUAAAGCUCUGUUGUAAGAGAAGAACGAGUGUGAGAGUGGAAAGUUCACACUGUGACGGUAUCUUACCAGAAAGGGACGGCUAACUACGUG
RNAcentral lists this ribosomal RNA (494 nucleotides) under uncultured bacterium. RNAcentral describes it as "partial 16S ribosomal RNA". It matches the Rfam family "Bacterial small subunit ribosomal RNA", at positions 29 to 507 of the family's 1533-position model. The record is from RNAcentral.